Molecule: long non-coding RNA, 990 nt
Organism: Haliotis rubra (blacklip abalone)
Lineage: Eukaryota; Metazoa; Mollusca; Gastropoda; Lepetellida; Haliotidae
Exons: 3
Source: RefSeq, a predicted model, not a curated record
CUGUCGGAAUAUCUGAGAUGAAGCUGAUAGUUAUAAUCAUAUUCAUUCCGAUACAAAAUAAUCCAGACCUGCUUGGAAUAUCCAAUAUAUAGAACGGCACAGACUUCAUCAGCAACCACGACAAACAGGACGCGGUCUCCCUGGAGCUAUAAGGAUGUGCAAGAGCUCAGCGUUAGGUGGAGACUGUUACAGUUGAUGAAAGUACAGAGGCCUAGACCAACCUUGCCACGCAAUACAUUGCUGUCUACGGCCGUUUCCAUCGGUGAUUAAUUUGAGAUGAGGAGUGGACAGACUGCAUGGUGAAAGUUUUAAGAUAUCACAGGCACCUGAAAAGACCGGUCAACGGAAUGGUUACGGCACGAAGGACCCAUAACUGAAUGUGUUCCUGUAAAGAAUUGUCAGUAGAUACCCGAGCUCUGAGUCCUUUAUGUCACGAGAUGAAGGGUUAAUCACUGACUGUGUUCCUGUACAGGAUUAUCGGUACUGACGCCUUUAGUGCCACGUGUCUCAAUAUGAAGGGCCCUUCAAUGAUUGUGAUCCAGGAACGGAUUAUCAGAGGGCGGUGACCUGCAUCGAGAAAGUAAGAAAAAGAGGUACCAAAGAAGGUGUUUAACAAGCACAAGUAGAGAAAUAGGGCCCCCAGUUGUCACAUUCUCUGGUCAACCAAGCCCACAUAGAUUCUCCCAUUUACAUAUUCAAGUUGAAAAUGGGUAUUCUCCGAGUGAUUCUGAAAACUAAAGUGACAAGGGUAGCAGUUGCUGUCAUCUGUGCACAGAUCAUCUUCCUCCUGAUCCUUCUGCUCAGGACGACCAGUACAUCGUUCAGAACGUCUUUGAAAGUUCCUGUCAAUGGUACAAACAACGCUCCAUUGUUAACAUAUAAUGUGAACUCGUUGAACAAAAACAUACGAUUGGGUACGUCAAAAUCGAUGUCGACCAGUGCAUCUUUGAAAGUUACUGGCAAUGAUACAAGCGUUGCUUCAUUGUUAAG